RNAcentral lists this transfer RNA (63 nucleotides) under Tenerus flavicollis. RNAcentral describes it as "tRNA-Ile". The record is from RNAcentral. Lineage: Eukaryota; Metazoa; Arthropoda; Insecta; Coleoptera; Cleridae.
AGUAAGAUGCCUGAUUAAAGGAUUACUUUGAUAGAGUAAAUAAUGUAUUUAAUACUCUUACUA